RNAcentral lists this ribosomal RNA (273 nucleotides) under Triticum aestivum (bread wheat). Its description in RNAcentral is "partial small subunit ribosomal RNA". Lineage: Eukaryota; Viridiplantae; Streptophyta; Magnoliopsida; Poales; Poaceae. The record is from RNAcentral.
AUGAGCGUGGGUUCCAACCCCACCUCAGACACCAGGAACUCUGACUUGCUCUGCAGCAUACCACCUGAGCGUAUUCUUCAAGUAGUCCACUUUGCCGGCAAUCUUCUCCUCGUUGAGAAACGCGACAGCCCGUAGCGCUUGCCUGAACAUCCCAGCGCCACGAGGUACACCUAAUCUUUCAGCACAUGCCACCAUUGCGCGGACGCGUUCCGGGUUGGUGGUCAGCAUCCUCGGCACAGCGAUACACAGCUUGGCAAUAUCACAAGCACCUAG